RNAcentral lists this ribosomal RNA (404 nucleotides) under Actinomycetes bacterium. RNAcentral describes it as "Actinobacteria bacterium partial 16S ribosomal RNA". It matches the Rfam family "Bacterial small subunit ribosomal RNA", at positions 355 to 776 of the family's 1533-position model. The record is from RNAcentral. Lineage: Bacteria; Bacillati; Actinomycetota; Actinomycetes.
UGGGGAAUAUUGGACAAUGGGCGCAAGCCUGAUCCAGCCAUGCCGCGUGAGUGAUGAAGGCCCUAGGGUUGUAAAGCUCUUUCACCGGUGAAGAUAAUGACGGUAACCGGAGAAGAAGCCCCGGCUAACUUCGUGCCAGCAGCCGCGGUAAUACGAAGGGGGCUAGCGUUGUUCGGAUUUACUGGGCGUAAAGCGCACGUAGGCGGACUUUUAAGUCAGGGGUGAAAUCCCGGGGCUCAACCCCGGAACUGCCUUUGAUACUGGAAGUCUUGAGUAUGGUAGAGGUGAGUGGAAUUCCGAGUGUAGAGGUGAAAUUCGUAGAUAUUCGGAGGAACACCAGGGGCGAAGGCGGGUCACUGGACCAAUACCGACGCUGAGGUGCGAAAGCGUGGGGAGCAAACAGG